Molecule: microRNA precursor, 61 nt
Filed under: Notamacropus eugenii (tammar wallaby)
Lineage: Eukaryota; Metazoa; Chordata; Mammalia; Diprotodontia; Macropodidae
Description: miRNA (ENSMEUG00000017810.1)
Source: RNAcentral
GCCGGGGCAGGGCUGGGCUGGGCUGGGCUGGGCUCCGCGUCCGCAGCGCGACGGACCUGUU